This 201-nucleotide ribosomal RNA is filed under the name uncultured bacterium. RNAcentral's name for it is "partial 16S ribosomal RNA". It matches the Rfam family "Bacterial small subunit ribosomal RNA", at positions 326 to 539 of the family's 1533-position model. The record is from RNAcentral.
ACGCUCGACACCUACGGCAGGCAGCAGUGGGGAAUAUUGGGCAAUGGGCGCAAGCCUGACCCAGCAACGCCGCGUGAAGGAGGAAGGCUUUCGGGUUGUAAACUUCUUUUAUUAAGGACGAAGCAAUGACGGUACUUAAUGAAUAAGCUCCGGCUAACUACGUGCCUAGCAGCCGCGGUAAUCUGAGCGGGCUGGCAAGGC